AGUGAACGCUGGCGGUAGGCCUAACACAUGCAAGUCGAACGGCAGCACAGUAAGAGCUUGCUCUUACGGGUGGCGAGUGGCGGACGAGUGAGGAAUACAUCGGAAUCUACUUUUUCGUGGGGGAUAACGUAGGGAAACUUACGCUAAUACCGCAUACGACCUACGGGUGAAAGCAGGGGAUCUUCGGACCUUGCGCGAUUGAAUGAGCCGAUGUCGGAUUAGCUAGUUGGCGGGGUAAAGGCCCACCAAGGCGACGAUCCGUAGCUGGUCUGAGAGGAUGAUCAGCCACACUGGAACUGAGACACGGUCCAGACUCCUACGGGAGGCAGCAGUGGGGAAUAUUGGACAAAGGGCGCAAGCCUGAUCCAGCCAUACCGCGUGGGUGAAGAAGGCCUUCGGGUUGUAAAGCCCUUUUGUUGGGAAAGAAAAGCAGCAGGUUAAUACCCCGCUGUUCUGACGGUACCCAAAGAAUAAGCACCGGCUAACUUCGUC
RNAcentral lists this ribosomal RNA (492 nucleotides) under uncultured bacterium. RNAcentral's name for it is "partial 16S ribosomal RNA". It matches the Rfam family "Bacterial small subunit ribosomal RNA", at positions 29 to 507 of the family's 1533-position model. The record is from RNAcentral.